Molecule: unclassified non-coding RNA, 425 nt
Filed under: soil metagenome
Description: partial contains 5.8S ribosomal RNA, internal transcribed spacer 2, and large subunit ribosomal RNA
Rfam family: 5.8S ribosomal RNA (bases 1-120)
Source: RNAcentral
GAUGAAGAACGCAGCGAAAUGCGAUAAGUAGUGUGAAUUGCAGAAUUCCGUGAAUCAUCGAAUCUUUGAACGCACAUUGCGCCUUCUGGUAUUCCGGAAGGCAUGCCUGUUCGAGAGUCAUUAACAACCGUUUCGAUCCCUUUCUUUCAGAAAUUACAAAGAGGAAAAGGGUUUGGUUAUGGUGGAGGAGGGAAAGGGAGCGUUUAGCCUGUAAAAAAAGAGGCUGUGUUCCGCCUCCCCCCCAAAAUUGUACAGGCGGUCGUGUGCGCCCACGCAUCGAGGUGUUGUAAAAGCUGCCACGGCACUUUUCACCUGUGCAGUGCGAGAUUGGCCAGCCGGUUUAAAAACCCCUCCAAACAAUCAAAUGUUGACCUCGGAUCAGGUAGGGAUACCCGCUGAACUUAAGCAUAUCAAUAAGCGGAGGA